This 253-nucleotide ribosomal RNA is filed under the name uncultured bacterium. Its description in RNAcentral is "partial 16S ribosomal RNA". It matches the Rfam family "Bacterial small subunit ribosomal RNA", at positions 524 to 776 of the family's 1533-position model. The record is from RNAcentral.
UACGUAGGGGGCAAGCGUUGUCCGGAUUUAUUGGGCGUAAAGAGCGUGUAGGCGGUCAGGUAGGUCCGUUGUGAAAACUCGAGGCUCAACCUCGAGACGCCGAUGGAAACCAUCUGACUAGAGUCCGGAAGAGGAGAGUGGAAUUCCUGGUGUAGCGGUGGAAUGCGUAGAGAUCCGGAAGAACACCAGUGGCGAAGGCGGCCCGCUGGGCAGUGGCUGACGCUGAGGCGCGACAGCGUGGGGAGCAAACAGG